Maniola jurtina (meadow brown) is the source of this 183-nucleotide long non-coding RNA. RefSeq lists it as uncharacterized. The transcript has 3 exons. Lineage: Eukaryota; Metazoa; Arthropoda; Insecta; Lepidoptera; Nymphalidae. The record is from RefSeq and is a predicted model, not a curated record.
UAUAACGCUCUAUCCACCCUCGGCAACCUGGGUGGUCGACUCGGCUUCUGGAGCGAGCUUGGAUGGCUGGAGUGAAGACUUCGACGGGGAGGGGCAAUGCACGCAAAACAGACGGAACGUUUAAGUACGGAAACCAACCCAGAGCGAAGAAUGAAAGAAUAGGAAACCUAAUAGCAUUCGGAG